Molecule: transfer RNA, 69 nt
Filed under: Cautires sp. UPOL A00111
Lineage: Eukaryota; Metazoa; Arthropoda; Insecta; Coleoptera; Lycidae
Description: tRNA-Glu
Source: RNAcentral
AUUUCUAUUUAUGUAGUUUAAAGAAACCAUUACAUUUUCAUUGUAAAAUUAAAUAUUUAUUAUUUCAUA